Molecule: non-coding RNA, 73 nt
Organism: Trichonephila clavipes
Lineage: Eukaryota; Metazoa; Arthropoda; Arachnida; Araneae; Nephilidae
Source: the annotation of a GenBank genome assembly
GUCUCAGUAGCGCAAUGGAUAGCGCAUUGAACUUCUGAUCCGAAAGUCGUAGAUUCGAAUCCCACCUGGGAUG